AUUCUAUAUGCAUAUUUUAAUUGAUUUAAAAAUAGUUAAGAAAAAUAAAAAUAAAAGCCUUUGUCCCUUUCUUUGGGGAAGAAACAUAAAGUAACAUUUGGUGAAGGAGAAGAAGGAAGUGGUGAGUAUUCUCUUCUUCCUCUUUGUUUUUUCUUUCCCUUUCUCUCAGUCUCUUUCUCUCUUUCUUUAUUUAUCUCUACCUUCUAUUGAGUGAAGGUGUAGCAAAAAGGUGAGUUCCUUUUUGUUGGUAUUUUUGUUUGCUUCUCCAGUUUUAGGAUGCAUGUUUACAAUAGCAUCAACAAUAGAGAACAUAUGAUGACCAUUGUAUUUUAAUCUAUCAUUUAUAGAUACUAUUUCACAUGAUUAUAGUAACUUUAUGUUGAUUAGGGUUAGUUUUUCCCCAUUCUGUUUAGUUUCUAAUAAUACACUAAUUUUAUGUUAAAUUGGUGUGUAUAUAUAUAUAUAUAUACAUAAUUUUACAUAUUCAUGCGGAUUAAAUUACAAUGUUACAUUAGUUAUGUGCAAAAAUGGGUUAUCAAGAUAACUCAUUGUUUGGGUGUAACUACUGACCAAAGUUUUUAUGAGGUUUUUGGUGUUUUAGUACUUCUAUUAAUUAGUACUGGUAUGCUAUGAUGAUGUUAAUAUCAUCAGGAAUUGGUUCUAGUGUUGGAGGAACACAAGUAAGCUUACGUGGAGCUCAAACAUCUAACCAUAAUAUUCAAGGUGAGAGAGACUUUAUUUAUGGCCCUUGUGGUCUUGGUCUUUGUGUCAUAGCAUGGUCCGAUGACCUCAAAGUCGGAUGCAAGCUUGUAUUAUCUUUGUUUUUGUGUGUGUAUAAUAAUCAAUAUUGAGAACAGUAUAGUUAGUAAACCCAUAUUGAUUAAUGGUGUGAUGGAUUCUAUGAAUGUUGUGAUAUCUAAGUAUAUGUUUGUAAAUAGUGUGAAUGUUGUGAUGGAUUUGUAGUUGAAAUGAAAUGACUGUUGUUGAUGUUACAUACACUUAUGUAUGUACAUAAAAAUAGAAUGGAAAUGUAGUUUCAGUCAUGAAAACCUUCAGGGUUGCUUGGGUAGGGUAGUCCACUGAUGGCUCAGGUUGAUCCCCUGUAGAUCAGGACAGUCUUGCUUAACUAAGUGAUUUCUGACACCCCUUUGAGUUAUCUGGAUCGGUGAGAGAGCUCCUAGUAUGAGAG
RNAcentral lists this long non-coding RNA (1189 nucleotides) under Lupinus angustifolius (narrow-leaved blue lupine). Its description in RNAcentral is "long non-coding RNA (LANG_LNC003540)". Lineage: Eukaryota; Viridiplantae; Streptophyta; Magnoliopsida; Fabales; Fabaceae. The record is from RNAcentral.